RNAcentral lists this non-coding RNA (30 nucleotides) under Mus musculus (house mouse). The record is from RNAcentral. Lineage: Eukaryota; Metazoa; Chordata; Mammalia; Rodentia; Muridae.
UCGGUUGAAAAUCAGUGUUUAGGGGAGACA